GAUGUAUAGUCAAGUAAUUAAGUGCAUGUGGUGGAUGCCUUGGCAGUCAGAGGCGAUGAAAGACGUGAUAGCCUGCGAAAAGCUCCGGGGAGGCGGCAAAUAUCCUUUGAUCCGGAGAUGUCUGAAUGGGGGAACCCACCUACUUUAAGGUAGGUAUUGCAACAUGAAUACAUAGUGUUGCAAGGCGAACGAGGGGAAGUGAAACAUCUCAGUACCCUUAGGAAAAGAAAUCAAUUGAGAUUCCCUCAGUAGCGGCGAGCGAACGGGGAUCAGCCCAUUAAGUUAUGUGUGUUUUAGUGGAACGCUCUGGGAAGUGCGAACGUAGAGGGUGAUAUUCCCGUACACGAAAGGGCACACAUAAUGAUGACGAGUAGGGCGAGGCACGUGAAACCUUGUCUGAAUAUGGGGGGACCAUCCUCCAAGGCUAAAUACUCCUGACUGACCGAUAGUGAACCAGUACCGUGAGGGAAAGGCGAAAAGAACCCCUGUGAGGGGAGUGAAAUAGAUCCUGAAACCGCAUGCAUACAAGCAGUGGGAGCACCUUCGUGGUGUGACUGCGUACCUUUUGUAUAAUGGGUCAGCGACUUAUAUUCAGUAGCGAGGUUAACCGUAUAGGGG
Molecule: ribosomal RNA, 618 nt
Filed under: Helicobacter pylori
Lineage: Bacteria; Pseudomonadati; Campylobacterota; Epsilonproteobacteria; Campylobacterales; Helicobacteraceae
Description: partial 23S ribosomal RNA
Rfam family: Bacterial large subunit ribosomal RNA
Source: RNAcentral